CUGUCAUCUAGCACUGAUUCACUACGAAGGAAAAGGAGACAUUAUUCACUAAAUUAGUAAAAACAAAUUGUAAAAUUCAAUCCAAAGUAACAGAACUGGGGUAGUAGCCGAAGUGGAUUUUUUUUUUCCAAAGGAACUUUUUUUGGCCAAGUUUUGCAAUGUAAUUUCUUUUAUUUUUUGAGUCAUAUGAGGGAUUGCACUAUAUACAUAAGAGCUUUUAUAUACAUAAG
Molecule: non-coding RNA, 230 nt
Organism: Pelobates cultripes (western spadefoot toad)
Lineage: Eukaryota; Metazoa; Chordata; Amphibia; Anura; Pelobatidae
Source: the annotation of a GenBank genome assembly